RNAcentral lists this ribosomal RNA (337 nucleotides) under Gracilinanus emiliae (Emilia's gracile mouse opossum). RNAcentral's name for it is "partial 12S ribosomal RNA". It matches the Rfam family "Bacterial small subunit ribosomal RNA", at positions 536 to 989 of the family's 1533-position model. The record is from RNAcentral. Lineage: Eukaryota; Metazoa; Chordata; Mammalia; Didelphimorphia; Didelphidae.
AACCCAAAUUAAUAAAUUUACGGCGUAAAGAGUGUUAAUGCUAAUAACCCAAUAAAAUUAAUGAUUAACUAGGCUGUAAUACGCUGUAGUUACUAUAAAAAAAGACAAUUAAAAUGAUUUUAAUACUGCUGAUACACGACAGCUGGGGCACAAACUGGGAUUAGAUACCCCACUAUGCCCAGCUAUAAACUUUAAUAAUUUAAUAACAAAAUUAUUCGCCAGAGAACUACUAGCAAUUGCUUAAAACUCAAAGGACUUGGCGGUGCCCUAAACCCACCUAGAGGAGCCUGUUCUAUAAUCGAUAAACCCCGAUAAACCCAACCCUAUCUUGCCAAUA